RNAcentral lists this unclassified non-coding RNA (234 nucleotides) under uncultured fungus. Its description in RNAcentral is "partial contains 18S rRNA, ITS1, 5.8S rRNA, ITS2 and 28S rRNA". The record is from RNAcentral. Lineage: Eukaryota; Fungi.
AAGGAUCAUUACCAAACAAAAGUGAUUCCGGGUCAGGCCGCGAGGUCGGACCCGUUACCACCCCAACCCUUUGUGAACCAAAAAACCUUUCGCUUCGGCAGCAGUCCGGUUGGAAGCAACCGCCGCGUCAGCCUGCCGCUAGCACCAACAAACAAAACUUGCAGUCAAACAUUGUCUGAUAACCAUAUUUUCGAAUGAAAAUUAAAACUUUCAACAACGGAUCUCUUGGUUCCC